Molecule: ribosomal RNA, 1717 nt
Filed under: Bursaphelenchus chengi
Lineage: Eukaryota; Metazoa; Nematoda; Chromadorea; Rhabditida; Aphelenchoididae
Description: SSU rRNA
Rfam family: Eukaryotic small subunit ribosomal RNA
Source: RNAcentral
CUCAAAGAUUAAGCCAUGCAUGUCUAAGUGGAGUAUUAUACAGCGAAACUGCGAACGGCUCAUUACAACAGAUAUAAUUUACUAGUUCUUGAUCCUAUAUGGAUAACUGCGGUAAUUCUGGAGCCAAUACAUGCAUCAAGCCUCGGCCUUCGGGUUCGGGGUGCAAUUAUUGGAGCAAAACCAGUCUCGUACUGUUUGCUAACUCUGGAUAAUUCUGCUUAUCGCAUGGUCUUGUACCGGCGAAGUUUCUUUCAAGUAUCUGCUUUAUCAACUAUCGUUGGUAGUUUAUUGGACUACCAUGGUGUUGACGGGUAACGGAGAAUCAGGGUUUGACUCCGGAGAGGGAGCCUUAGAAACGGCUACCAUGUCUAAGGAUAGCAGCAGGCGCGAAAAUUACCCAAUAUCAAAACGAUGAGGUAGUGACGAGAAAUAACGAGAUCGUUCUCUUUGAGGUCGAUUAUUGGAAUGAGUACAAUCCAGAAAUUUUAACGAGUAUCUACGAGAGGGCAAGUCUGGUGCCAGCAGCCGCGGUAAUUCCAGCUCUCGUAAUGUAUAGAAUUAUUGUUGCGAUUAAAAAGUUCGUAGUUGGAUUGUUAAGCGAGCAUGGGUCCAUCUUCGUGAUGCGUACUCAAUGCUCGCGCUUUGUUGGUUUUUGCGGCGUUGCUCACGCGGCGUUCGUGAUGCCAGCAGGAUUACUUUGAACGGCUCAAGUGCUCAAAGCAAGUCUUAUGACUGAAUACCGGUGCAUGGAAUAAUGGAACAAGGUUUCGUCCGAGUUUUAUUGGUUUUGUCGGCUGAAACAAUGGUUAACAGGAACAGCCGGGGGCAUUCGUAUCGCUGCGCGAGAGGUGAAAUUCGUGGACCGUAGCGAGACGACCGACAGCGAAGGCAUUUGCCAAGAGUGUUUUCAUUAAUCAAGAACGAAAGUCAGAGGUUCGAAGGCGAUUAGAUACCGCCCUAGUUCUGACCGUAAACGAUGCCAACUGUCGAUCCGCUCGUGGAUUUGAUUCAUGAGCGGGGAGAUUCCCGGAAACGAAAGUUUUUCGGUUUCGGGGGAAGUAUGGUUGCAAAGCUGAAACUUAAAGGAAUUGACGGAAGGGCACCACCAGGAGUGGAGCUUGCGGCUUAAUUUGACUCAACACGGGAAAUCUCACCCGGCCAGUACAUCGUGAGGAUUGACAGAUUGAAAGCUCUUUCAUGAUUCGGUGAAUGGUGGUGCAUGGCCGUUCUUAGUUCGUGGACUGAUUUGUCUGGUUUAUUCCGAUAACGAGCGAGACUUUAACUAUUAAAUAGUGCAAUUGUUGCUUCGGCUGCGAUUGAACACUUCUUAAAGGAAUUUGUGGUUUCCAACCUCAAGAAAUUGAGCAAUAACAGGUCUGUGAUGCCCUUAGAUGUUCGGGGCCGCACGCGUGCUACAAUGGUGGUAACAGCGUGAUUGUCCUUUCCCGACAGGGAUUGGCAAACAGUUGAGAUAUUAUUAUGGCUGGAAUUGAGUGUUGAAAUUUUCUCUCAUGAACGAGGAAUUCCAAGUAAAUGUGAGUCAUUAACUUGCAUUGAUUACGUCCCUGCCCUUUGUACACACCGCCCGUCGCUGCCCGGGACUGAGUUACUUCGAGAAAACUAGGGAUUGUUGGAGUUUAAUGUUUCGGCAUUGUCUUCGAUGCGAACUAGUUUAAUCGCAGUGGCUUGAACCGGGCAAAAGUCGUAACAAGGUAGC